UGCAGUCGAACGGUAACAGGUCUUCSGAUGCUGACGAGUGGCGAACGGGUGAGUAAUACAUCGGAACGUGCCCGAUCGUGGGGGAUAACUACUCGAAAGAGUGGCUAAUACCGCAUACGAUCUACGGAUGAAAGCAGGGGACUCGCAAGGGCCUUGCGCGGACGGAGCGGCCGAUGGCAGAUUAGGUAGUUGGUGGGAUAAAAGCUUACCAAGCCGACGAUCUGUAGCUGGUCUGAGAGGACGACCAGCCACACUGGGACUGAGACACGGCCCAGACUCCUACGGGAGGCAGCAGUGGGGAAUUUUGGACAAUGGGCGAAAGCCUGAUCCAGCAAUGCCGCGUGCAGGAUGAAGGCCUUCGGGUUGUAAACUGCUUUUGUACGGAACGAAAAGACUCCUUCUAAUAAAGGGGGUUCAUGACGGUACCGUAAGAAUAAGCACCGGCUAACUACGUGCCAGCAGCCGCGGUAAUACGUAGGGUGCAAGCGUUAAUCGGAAUUACUGGGCGUAAAGCGUGCGCAGGCGGUUAUGUAAGACAGAUGUGAAAUCCCCGGGCUCAACCUGGGAAUUGCAUUAGUGACUGCAUAGCUAGAGUGCGGCAGAGGGGGAUGGAAUUCCGCGUGUAGCAGUGAAAUGCGUAGAUAUGCGGAGGAACACCGAUGGCGAAGGCAAUCCCCUGGGCCUGCACUGACGCUCAUGCACGAAAGCGUGGGGAGCAAACAGGAUUAGAUACCCUGGUAGUCCACGCCCUAAACGAUGUCAACUGGUUGUUGGGAAUUCACUUUCUCAGUAACGAAGCUAACGCGUGAAGUUGACCGCCUGGGGAGUACGGCCGCAAGGUUAAAACUCAAAGGAAUUGACGGGGACCCGCACAAGCGGUGGAUGAUGUGGUUUAAUUCGAUGCAACGCGAAAAACCUUACCCA
Molecule: ribosomal RNA, 924 nt
Filed under: uncultured bacterium
Lineage: Bacteria
Description: bacterial SSU rRNA
Rfam family: Bacterial small subunit ribosomal RNA
Source: RNAcentral